Molecule: ribosomal RNA, 497 nt
Filed under: uncultured bacterium
Lineage: Bacteria
Description: bacterial SSU rRNA
Rfam family: Bacterial small subunit ribosomal RNA
Source: RNAcentral
AAAGGAAUAGACGGGGGCCCGCACAAGCGGUGGAGCAUGUGGUUUAAUUCGACGCAACGCGAAGAACCUUACCAGGGCUUGACAUCCUCUGACGCCCAUAGAGAUAUGGGGUUUGGUCUUCGGACUGACAGAGAGACAGGUGGUGCAUGGUUGUCGUCAGCUCGUGUCGUGAGAUGUUGGGUUAAGUCCCGCAACGAGCGCAACCCUUAUUCUUAGUUGCCAUCAUUAAGUUGGGCACUCUAAGGAGACUGCCGGUGACAAACCGGAGGAAGGUGGGGAUGACGUCAAAUCAUCAUGCCCUUUAUGUCCUGGGCUACACACGUGCUACAAUGGCCUGUACAGAGGGUAGCGAAGCUGCGAAGCGGAGCCAAUCCCAAAAAGCAGGUCUCAGUUCGGAUUGCAGGCUGCAACUCGCCUGCAUGAAGUCGGAAUCGCUAGUAAUCGCGAAUCAGCAUGUCGCGGUGAAUACGUUCCCGGGCCUUGUACACACCGCCCGU